This 369-nucleotide non-coding RNA is filed under the name Buttiauxella agrestis ATCC 33320. The record is from RNAcentral. Lineage: Bacteria; Pseudomonadati; Pseudomonadota; Gammaproteobacteria; Enterobacterales; Enterobacteriaceae.
ACGUCGGGAAGUGAAGGAGACAUUAGGAUGAUGUCACUUCAUUGAAGAAGUGGAACACACCAGGAUGGUGUUGCAAGGAAGGCUUCUGGAUGAAGCAAGGAUCACUCAGGAAGAGUAAGGGACACCUCCAGGACGGAGAAUGAGAGCCGAAUCAGGAACAUUCGGUGGGUCUGGAAGACCAAAGGAUUAUGCAUCAGGACAAUGCCGGAACACCUCAGGAUGAUGGUAGCAGGACGCGAGUACGACGGAUUGUAGGUCAGGAGACCGCAGGACAUAGUUGUCACGGACGAGCAGGGAGCACCAAAAGUAGCCGGAUUAGCUGCGAAACGAACCGGGAGCACUGUUUAUACAGUGCUCCCUUUUUUUAUG